UACGUAGGGUGCGAGCGUUAAUCGGAAUUACUGGGCGUAAAGCGUGCGCAGGCGGUUUUGUAAGUCAGAUGUGAAAUCCCCGGGCUCAACCUGGGAACUGCGUUUGAAACUACAAGGCUAGAGUGUGGCAGAGGGGGGUAGAAUUCCACGUGUAGCAGUGAAAUGCGUAGAGAUGUGGAGGAAUACCGAUGGCGAAGGCAGCCCCCUGGGUCAACACUGACGCUCAUGCACGAAAGCGUGGGGAGCAAACAGG
Molecule: ribosomal RNA, 253 nt
Filed under: uncultured bacterium
Lineage: Bacteria
Description: partial 16S ribosomal RNA
Rfam family: Bacterial small subunit ribosomal RNA
Source: RNAcentral